GACAGUGCGGCUUGCUAUACUGGCAGUCGAGCGAAUGGAUUAAGAGCUUGCUCUUAUGAAGUUAGCGGCGGACGGGUGAGUAACACGUGGGUAACCUGCCCAUAAGACUGGGAUAACUCCGGGAAACCGGGGCUAAUACCGGAUAACAUUUUGAACCGCAUGGUUCGAAAUUGAAAGGCGGCUUCGGCUGUCACUUAUGGAUGGACCCGCGUCGCAUUAGCUAGUUGGUGAGGUAACGGCUCACCAAGGCAACGAUGCGUAGCCGACCUGAGAGGGUGAUCGGCCACACUGGGACUGAGACACGGCCCAGACUCCUACGGGAGGCAGCAGUAGGGAAUCUUCCGCAAUGGACGAAAGUCUGACGGAGCAACGCCGCGUGAGUGAUGAAGGCUUUCGGGUC
RNAcentral lists this ribosomal RNA (400 nucleotides) under Bacillus anthracis (anthrax bacterium). RNAcentral describes it as "bacterial SSU rRNA". It matches the Rfam family "Bacterial small subunit ribosomal RNA", at positions 39 to 424 of the family's 1533-position model. Lineage: Bacteria; Bacillati; Bacillota; Bacilli; Caryophanales; Bacillaceae. The record is from RNAcentral.